UGGGUAACCUGCCCAAGAGACUGGGAUAACACCUGGAAACAGAUGCUAAUACCGGAUAACAACACUAGACGCACGUCUAGAGUUUAAAAGAUGGUUCUGCUAUCACUCUUGGAUGGACCUGCGGUGCAUUAGCUAGUUGGUAAGGUAACGGCUUACCAAGGCAAUGAUGCAUAGCCGAGUUGAGAGACUGAUCGGCCACAUUGGGACUGAGACACGGUCCAAACUCCUACGGGAGGCAGCAGUC
This 244-nucleotide ribosomal RNA is filed under the name uncultured bacterium. RNAcentral describes it as "partial 16S ribosomal RNA". It matches the Rfam family "Bacterial small subunit ribosomal RNA", at positions 118 to 355 of the family's 1533-position model. The record is from RNAcentral.